GUGCAGCAGGCGAGAACCUCCGCAAUACACGAAAGUGUGACGGGCCAUCCCGAGUGCCGUCCGCUGAGGACGGCUUUUCCCAGUGUACACAGCUGGGGAAGUAAGGAGAGGGCGAAGCCUGGUGUCAGCCGCCGCGGUAAUACCAGCUCUCCGAGUGGUGGGGACGCUUAUUGGGCCUGAAGCAUCCGUAGCCGGCUGGGCAAGUCCUCCGUUAAAUCCAACGAUUCAAUCGUUGGGCUGCGGGGGAUACUGUCCAGCUUGGGGGCGGGAGAGGCCGACGGUAUUCCCGGGGUAGGGUGGAAAUCCUAUAAUCCCGGGAGGACCACCAGUGGCGAAGGCUGUCGGCUAGAACGCGCCCGACGGUGAGGGAUGAAAGCUGGGGGGAGCGGAACCGGAUUAGGAUACCCCGGCGUA
Molecule: ribosomal RNA, 414 nt
Filed under: uncultured microorganism
Description: bacterial SSU rRNA
Rfam family: Archaeal small subunit ribosomal RNA
Source: RNAcentral